This 450-nucleotide ribosomal RNA is filed under the name uncultured bacterium. Its description in RNAcentral is "partial 16S ribosomal RNA". It matches the Rfam family "Bacterial small subunit ribosomal RNA", at positions 354 to 796 of the family's 1533-position model. The record is from RNAcentral.
GUGGGGAAUCUUCCGCAAUGGACGAAAGUCUGACGGAGCAACGCCGCGUGAGUGAAGAAGGUUUUCGGAUCGUAAAGCUCUUUCGUUAGGGACGAACGUGCUCUUUGUGAAUAAUGAGGAGUAAUGACGGUACCUAAAUAAGAAGCCACGGCUAACUACGUGCCAGCAGCCGCGGUAAUACGUAGGUGGCAAGCGUUGUCCGGAAUUAUUGGGCGUACAGCGCGCGCAGGCGGGAUAUCAAGUCUGUCUUAAAAGUGCGAGGCUCAACCUCGUGAGGGGACAGAAACUGGUAUUCUUGAGUGUCGGAGAGGAAAGUGGAAUUCCAAGUGUAGCGGUGAAAUGCGUAGAGAUUUGGAAGAACACCAGUGGCGAAGGCGACUUUCUGGACGAUGUCUGACGCUGAGGCGCGAAAGCUAGGGGAGCGAACGGGAUUAGAAACCCUUGUAGUCC